Oreochromis niloticus (Nile tilapia) is the source of this 13761-nucleotide long non-coding RNA. RefSeq lists it as uncharacterized. The transcript has 2 exons. The record is from RefSeq and is a predicted model, not a curated record. NCBI's taxonomy places the organism in Eukaryota, Metazoa, Chordata, Actinopteri, Cichliformes, Cichlidae.
GACGGGAAGGGAGGGAGGGAGGCAGAGGGAGCUUUAAAUGGGUGACAAAUGGACAACCAAUGACUGCAACUCGGGAAUACACGUUUUGAAUAGAAGCGAGUCAAUUUGCACAUUGUUUUUGUAUAGUUUUUCCUGUAGUAGCUACUUUUUAGAAUCUUUUUAUCACUCCAUUCAUUUUUGUGCGACGGAAAUGAAAGCGUUAGUCUUCUGGGUUACAUUUUCCUUUUCAUAGAUACAUGUGAUCGCUUUACAUUUUCUUGUUCUUUUGAAAAAACAAACAAACUAUGAUGUAGUCCCUUAAGCGUUUAAGGGUUUUUGUUUUAUGUCUUUUGUUUCUGUCUUUUGUUUGUUUUUUGCCCUGGAUCCGUCGAUGGUUUAAAAAACUGCAUGUUUGCAAUUUUAUGACAUAAUCCGCGCAUGACUUUACUCGGCCUAGCUGUUCUGUGUGGUCACUUUAUGAUGGGUGGGUACUUGUCCGGGGGUAUACUGCAGUGAUCCGCUCCCCCUCCUGCUGUCCCCGGCCCUGCCUCUGGGACGCUGGGUGCAGUCCUGGCCCCCUGCCCGUUGCCUUCUCUCCAACCAACAGAAUUUAUUGUUACAAAUUAAUAUCGACGCGCAGCAUUGUGUUGAUUGAACAAAGAUCACGGCAUUGUAGUGCGAAAACUAAUUUGCCAGUGGCAUCGCCCUUUUAACAGUUUAUCGCGUUUUUUAUGGCGCGGCCCUCUAAUUAAAACUAUUAGGCUAGUAUUGGAAUUACAAUCAAAUGGCAACAUGAAAGGUUCUUGGGGACAUAAAAGCUAUUUCAUUUUUUUUGAUCUAGUGGUAAGGACAUGAUCAAUGUCCACAUUCAGUCAUAGGACUCGGCUUAUAGUGGUAGCCACGGCGGUGUGAUUUUCAUGUUUAUGGCUAAACUGGCUUCAUAUUUAGACAGGGCUUAUAGGGUGUUAAAAUAGUGUGAAUUCAGUCUAACACGAACAGUGCUCACAUUGUGAAAGAGCCGUGUACAGGGCAUAGAAUCUAGACUUCGCUUAAUCCACCCUCAGCAAAGCUGACAUAAUGAUCCUAAGCCGCCUUUCUACAAAAUCAUUCAGGAAUUCAAAACGUUCCCUUUCCUCUCUCCGAGUUGCACAUUCUCCCGGCUGACCAACGACUUCAAGCUUGGAGGGACAGUGAGUACCUCAGCGUGCAUGUAUAGUCAGUGCUGCCUGUUUAUGUCCACCACAAACCUUACCUGAUGCGCUUAAACAACGUGAUUGCCGCCGAGCAAUUAGCCAACACUGGCGCACUAUUACGCGUUUUAGGUAAAGCAGUGCUUUAACUCGUGCGAACAUGUGCGUGCAGGAGUGGGGUGCGAGUGUCUGUGUCUGGAGGUGUAUGUGAUGCAGAGUGGGCGUUGUGAUGAUCUUGCAGCAGGGUCAGGCGUUUGGUUCGUGUGUUACUUCUGGAGUUUGCGCGCGUGUUUGUGCGUGUGGGGGCAGGGUAGAGUAUGGGAUCAAACCUGUCCACUGCGCUCCUAUACGAACCUCAGGAGGACUAAUUCCAAGUGGCACUUGAAUUGGUCCCGUUGGAAAGCUCUGUGGACUGGAAGUAAAGGCUGGUAUUUUCAUGCUGGUGUUAAAACUAACCUCCUAGCCUAUACCCCCUCCUCUUUCUCUUUCUCUCUUUCUCUCUCACACACAUAUACACACAUGCAUGACCCCAACAUGAAGUUGAGAGUGCGGGCUUAGCAGCACUUCUCCAAAUAUGCAAAGCCUCCUACCUGACCGGGUUCCUGGUGUACCAAUUUAGCUGAUCACCAUUCAACCCAAGGCUGCAGGUAUUAUGUAGCAUUAUGUUUUGGAGGAGCCUUGUUUGGGAGUAGCCCUCGCAGGCAAUUCGGAAAUCACUCUUAGAAAAGACUAGAGGUGAAAUGUAAAACCUGAAUGGGGAUUGAGGGAGAAAAGCCACUGGUAAUUCACAUUCUUUUACAUGGCUUUUGUUUAUGUUAAGCAUGUAAUUAACACCUCCCAAACAAGUUUAUUCACCUGCCGUAAUUGUGUGUUUAUCCGAGAGCUUGCUGAAUGUUCCUAGCAGCGGGGGACGAGAGCUCUGAAUGCACAUUGAGCAUUUAGCGUCUUCUCCGUUUACUUACAGCCUAAACCUCCAAACAAGACAACACAAACAGCAUUUUUCAUGCUAAAAAACUGGAAACAUGCUGGUCAAGCAGGAACAGGCGUCCGUGUCUGUUAAGCAGCUGGAUCUCGCUUCCCAUUCCUUUUGGCUGAUCGUAAAAUGGAAUGUCAAACUUUGUUUGGAAAAGUUUUGUAUAAAUAAAACAAGUUUCUUUUUUUAUUUAUUUGAAGUUGUUAAUGUGAUAGGGUAAUACUGUUCAUUGACCAUGAUAUGUUAGUCCUAUCGGAACAUAUUGCGUCUAAAAGUGUUCGUUAAUCUUCAUUAAGUAGUUAUAUUUCUUUUUCUGUCUGUUCCAAUAAGGGGAGCAAAUAAACAAAGCUGAUGUUACGUCACGUUUGGGAGUGAGAGAGGGAGAAGGGGACCGGAUGAGAGAAAGAAAGAAAAGGUGUUGACUGUAAAAGGUAAGAGGGAAAGAGAAGGCACGAAAGAAAGGGUCUUGUUUUAUUUUUUGCUCCCUCGUUGACCCCGGUUUGGCAGAAGCUUCCCAGAAAAGGCAGCACACCCCUCCCUGGCAAACACAGGAGAGGCACAUGUGCCUACUGCUCCAUCCUGGAUUCAUCUCAACAUUACACAGACACUUUGGAGAAAUGACUGGGCUGUAAGCUGGCUCCAGUCCACGAGCGGUCACCAUUUGAGCUUGGAAGCUGUAGCUGGAGAUGGCACCGCUUCACGGUUAUUUCACUGGUCAGUUUGUCCAAAAGUAGGAUGGAAAUCGAGCUGCAGUGUCUGUAAGUUCUGUUAAAUGUAAGCAGAGCAAUUUCCGUCUGCGACGUUGUUGACUCGUUGUUAUUUUUGCGGACAAUUCAUUUAUUUAAACAAAAAUAUGGAAUUAAACAGAAAAAUCUUAACAGACCUUGAUAUGAGGUUAAUCUAUCCUUUAGAUCAGAAAAGUUACAUUUGGUGUUAUCUGACCUUUCCCUCACCGAGAAUAGGGAAGAUCUGUCUUUGCAGAGCAGAUGUGUGAUGCUGUCGGGACGGGGCGCACAAUCGCCUCCAUCCCAUGCUGGCUAGUCCAGGGUACGGAGACGCUGCUUUCUCCCCACACUGUAAAAAGUAUCAGUCUAGAGGUGUCAUUUAAUGUAGCACUGAGUUUUAAAAAUACGGGUUUAUUUUUGGGAAAAUGAAUGGCUGUAUCAUACAUUUGGGAGAAGGAUGUAAAAGGACACAUCUCGAUCAGAUAUAACUUCAUCUGCUUCUGUUUAAAGUUUCUGGUGAAAAUUUCGAGUUAGUACAAGAAAUGCAGAACUCCGUUUUCUUUAGAAAUAUUAUACCGCUUCUUUUAAAAAAAAUGCUAUGCAUAAAAUUUGUGUCACUGGAUUUUUUUUUUUUUUUUUUACCGUAUCUGAGGAAAUUUUGAUGAAAUGAAAACAAAUUGGAUAUUUUUUGCAGUGCAAAAAUGCGAUUAAAGCAUAUAGUCAGCAGCUAUAACAACUGCAUUCUAUUUUUUAAAACCAUUUAAAAAUUAAUAUUAGACCUGCAUGUGACGCUAUUACGAUUUGGUUCAUUCCAUGGUGAACUCAAGCGCCAAAACAAUUAAGUCGGUUGCAAUAUCUUAAAACAGCCUCUGAAUAACAACUUGUGAUCACAUAAGCAAUAGGCAAAACCUCUGUUUACGUUUGCAGAUGCAUGCACGACACACAAUAGUGUCUAAAUUUAAAAUUAAAGAAACAGAAAAACGCCAUGAUUGAAUUUAAAACGUUUUUUCACCGCAAAUGUCACUGAUCUGUAAACGUGGCUCCAACUUUAAUAGUAAAGCUUUUACAAAAGUUUUAACAUCUCUCUCUCUCUCUCUCUCCCUCCUUUCUUUUAUUGUUUUUAUUGUGUGGUCUCAUUAGGGGGACUUCCUGGCAGGGCUGGGAGCUUGUAUCGGAGCUGUCCAAUCAGUGUAUUUACACGGGUUGUUAGCGACAGUUAAUGAGGGCUCCUCCCCGGGCCGGUAGAGAAAGGCGCCUCAACAUUAAGAUUUACCUUGUGUCAACUCGUUACUUCUAAUGAACCUCCAUGCAAAAGCCUCCUCGUUCUCAAUGGAGCCGUGCGCCCGGAUCUUGUGUGUGAGACCCUGGAAGAGUGGAGCUGCAAGCCGGCCUCCCUCUCCCCCACCUCCUUUUCUUCCGCUCACUCAGGGAGUGUUGCUUUUUCUCUGCAGGCCCGGUUCUAUGAUGCAUGCAUGCAGUGUGUGUGUGCGUGUGUACAUGUUUGUGUGUGGGUACAUAUAGCCUGCUCUUCAUUGAAUAUGGCGUUAGGAAUCCAAAUGUUUUCAUUAUAUAUUUAAAUUUGUGCAAAAAGGCUUUUCCCCGUGUAGAUUAACACAUAUUGGACUACAGCGUAAAAUUAUACGUAGGCUAUAUAUUUAUUUAAAAUGUGUCUAAUCGAUAAAGAAAAAAAACAGUCAUUAGAAGUGUGUUCUGAGACAAGACAUAGGCGUAGGAGGGUGUUUGUGUUUGCAUGCACGUAUCACAAACCAUAUGUCUUCUAUUGUUUGGUGAAUGAGGCUUGACAUGUCAGCUUAUUGCCCCUGCAGAAGUAAGUUCAUUUAUAAUCACCCUCCAUCCCCCACGAGAGCACCGAGCACAGAUCGGGCUCUGGCCCCUCUGUCCACCCCUCGUCUGGCCCCUAGUGAGGCUUGUUGAGCCGCAUCAGCAACACAUCACUGCCCCUCAAUUCAGGUACAAACGAGAGGAGUUUGGCAGCUCCCUGAAGUGGACUCCCCUCUUGCUCUUCUAGACCACAGAGACACCACUUAAAAAUCAAUUAGACUCGUCUAGUCUCUCUCCUCGCCAGUCAUUAUUAAAAAAGAGAGAGAGAAAGAAGGAAAGAAAGAAAAAAACCCAGGUGGGAACACCAAAUUUCAGGAAGGACUAAAACCAAAAUCCAACUUUUGAUUCUUGCGAAGGAAAAUUAGCAUUUGUACCAUCUAGCUUUGAAAAGUGGUUAUCUGACAGACUGUAAGAUAAAAUAAACAGAAAAGUAAACUAAAAUAUGUUUGCACGCGAUAAUGUACACUUAUUUUUAGUCAAAUCUACAUCCACCAGCAGCCAGCAGGUGAUAAAGUGGCCCAAACUAUAUUCUCACGGUUGUUGGCACUUUGUCACCUGCUGGUGAAAGUGACAGAAAACAGUUUGAUUUCCAUAUUUGUUAUAAAGGGGAAAGAAGGUUUUUAAGUAAUGUCAUUAGUUACACAAUCCCUUUCUUCAUACCGUCAACAUCGUAUUUAAUGCGCAUUUUCUCAUGGCGCCUUUUCCAGCAGCGGUUUAACCGCUCAGGCGCCUGGUGCUCCGUGUUACAGAUGUGCAGCAAUAUGACACAGCGCAGUAACGCUGGAGGAGGCCUCGUGUUCACUCUUCCAGGUGGAUAGGCUGAUUUGGAGACAGAGACACAGAGAAAUAAAUAUAAUGGCUGCAUAUCGAAUGCAUUGCCCCAAGCGCUACAUAUGAUGCUCACCUUGCCUUAUACGUUUUCUUAUUUUUUUUAAACAGCUGAACAUUUUUUUUUAAAGCAAAGCAACCCCCUACUCUCACAGCACUCUUAUCUCCCAGCACCUAACCCCUGAAGAAUCUUCAUUAAUCUGCAUGUGUAGAUCUCAAACUGUAUUCGGUCCUGUAUAGAGCUAACAGUAUAACCAAAUUGAUACUUUAAAAAAUGUGGACAGAAUUAAAUUUAAAAAAAAAAAAUCUGACUGUUUUGGAUUUGCCUGUCUAGGCUGAUUAAGCGCUCAGUCUCUGAGAUGCAGAUAGGAGUUGCGGAGAUGGCCCUUUAGCCCGGUGUCACAGGAGCUGACAAGCUGUAAUUACUGUGGCUGACAGGUCGCUCUCAAAGCUUACUAAUGUGAGAGAUGUGGAUACCACAGACAGCAUGCACACAGUCGAGGCUACUCAACACUUUGGCCACGUAGUGCCUUUUUAACCCCUGUUCAGAUGCUGCUGGGCUGGCCACAUGCUCCGCAGAUGACCUUUUCCAUUUUAACAUUCCAGUAAUGAAAUAGCCACUUAUUUGCGAGCUAUGAUAUGGUAGUAGAGAUGUGAAUGGGAAAAAAAUACACAUAAGACGGGUGAAAAGUUCUUUAACUUUCAUGCAGUUAUUUAGUUUUCGAUUAAGCUACACUAUAGCUAUGUAGCACUCCUAAAGAAGAAUAUUUUACACCGAAAUACAUGACCAUCUGAAGAUAUUAUGUAAUGAUGCAGCUUUCACCUCCAGCCCCCAGUUAAUUUUUCAUUGACGUAAUACAGGUAAACUCAGUACAUCCGUAACAGAAAGUAGGUUUAAAUACUCACAUACUGAACAUGUGGAACUUUUGCUUUAAUACUUUCAUUUUGUGCUGUUUUAUUUAAAUUAAUCCUUCAUUUUAGAGGGAAAUCAUGCAUGUUUCAUGUUUUUAUGUUUUACUUCCACAGCAGUUAUGCAGCAAUAAAAUGCCAGUACAUCAGUGAUAAGUAUAAUCUAAAUAACUACAGUAUUACUUUUGAUAGUUAAAACAGUGUGCUUUUCUACUUUUACAGGAUAAAACUGUAACCACAAGAUUUUUUACUCAGUGAAGUACAUUUACAUUGUGGCUGCUUGAGAGCCUGGUUAGGAUUCUUUAUCUAUUUCAUAAAACAAGCUUUUUAACAUUAUGAAUACAAACAUGAACUCUUGACCCUUCAGCUCUAUGCUGUGGGGUGUGCUUUACUGGGACGAUCUGGUUCUACUUGUCCCCUUAGAGGGAACAUUUGCAGUAUAUUAAUACAGAGUUGUUUUGAGUGAACACUUUUAUCUUUAUGACACAGUUCUGUCUUGAUGCAAGUGGACCAUUCCAGGAUGAUGAUGCCCCCAUCCAAAGUUCAUGAGGGCUCCCUGGAUGGCUUGCAGAGUAUGAAAAUCAUACGAAUCAUAUGCAGUUGCUUUCACAGACAUCAACUGACAAAACAUCAAAUGAGCGAAGAACCUUUGGAAGAACUGUGGCCCGUCCUUCCAAUGACUUUAGACUUUAGAUUUCAAGAACCUGAAAUUGUUCUGGCAGCACAUUGUGUUUUAACAAUUUAAAUUUUGUAUUUUCCUUUAACCUGGCAUCUACCUACAUUGCAUUCCACAAAAUAAAUAGCUGGAUUUGCCAUACGUUUAACCAGUAUGCAGUGCUCCAGUACAUGUAGUUGCUGCCUCUCUCACAAUAGAAUAGCCCUUCAUCAUCAACAAAACCUGCAGAGCCUAAUUUCCUCAAUGGAUAAAUACUCUAAUUAAUGCUUCAGUUUGUAAUAGAGUAAUGUAAGAAAUCUAUAGACACUGAGUAAUCCACCCUCCCCUUUCGCGUGACUAUGUGAAGGUCACAGUCACCGUUUAACCCACAUUUCCGUGUCACAUGCUGAUUGUUUGGAUGAUUGUGUGACAGCGAAGCAUGCACCUAGCAUCUCUCUCGCUCUCAUUUUAAUUUUAAUUUAUAACUUGUUAAGCUAAAUUUUCCAUUUUCCAUGAAUUCUUUUACAGUUUAGGAGAACGAUCAUCUUCGUGUCAAGCUCACCUGUAGAACAAUGAACACAUAUCCUGUUUCCUUUGGACUGUCAUAGGUUUUUGUGUUUUGUGUGGAGUUUUUUGAAUGUUUAUUGUGACUGAGCUUGCACUUGGUUCGGUUUCUGCGUUUUUUUAAAUAUCUAGAUAAAUUUCCCGUUUAUUCUUAAUCUCUUGUUAGGAUCAAAUAACAUGUUAAUAUCCUUUGGCUUUUUCCGUUGUUUCAAAUAGGCUUCCUUAGCUUGCGGCAUAAUUUGGUUUACUCGCUCUCCCUCUCUCUCUCUCUCUCUCUCUCUCUCUCUCUCUCUCCCCUGUCCUCUCCUCUCCUUGACUGCAGCUUUUGACAUUACUCCUCUCGAUUGCCCGUUUACCCCCAAGUCAAGUUUGAGGUAGGCAUGAAGUGUAAAAGAGGUGGGCCAUGUCAUAUCCGCUCAGUGUGCAUGGGAUUGUCUGCCUCCACGGCUGUAAUUAUUGUUGGGGAGAACAAUUCAUGCACAGAGUGCCCGGGCAAGCAGGAAGGUAGCAUAUCAGAGAAAGAACAGUCACAAAGUUGGCUCAUGAAGGUUUUUUUCUCGGCAGAAGUAGAAAUAUGGGUUGGUUUUUAUGUGAGGCACAAUCGCAUUUAGAAGUUUACCUACUUUGCUUGUAUAUUUGGAUAGAUUUGGCUUGCAUUAAAAUCAUUUAGCCUACUAUAGCGUUUACUUUGCUUGACUUUAAGGGGUUUUGUGAAACUAAUCUAAGGGUACUCUCCCACCUGGACUCCACUUUAAGGAUAUUGUGAAAUAACUACUUUAACAACACAGCUGCUUUGACAGCCCCAGGUGCAUAUUAACGUUUAUUUGAAUGAAUUAAACGAAUAAAAAGUCUCAGAGCAACAGACUUGCCUUAUAUAAGUUCAUGAGAAGGCUACCAGACGACUCUUAAAUAUAAUUGUUUCACUUGGAGAACACAAAUCAUCCAAAAGUAACUUAUAUUUAUGCAAAGUCUAGUAAGUACAGUCUGCAUUAUUUUUUUUGUCCACUCAGCCUUUGAAGAAGUUUAAUGGAACACCCAGUGGACAAAACUGCAGCUACAUGGUGUUUUAAGUUACCUGCAUUCAUCUGAGUGUGCAGGGGGAAAGAAGAAGAAAAAAAGUUGCUCAACUGUUUACCUAAUUGUUCCCGAAACUUAGCUACAUGAAUCUAUUGCUAGGCAACAGAUUAGGCGUAGGUGUAGUGACUUUAGUUUUUACGCAGUCUCAGGUGUGUGUUUAUCGAGUACGUCACCGCUGUUUCAACAUAGCAGCCAAUCAGAAACGGGGAACGGAACUUACCGUCCUAUAACUAGAUAUUAGUUUACAAGAUAAUAACGGAGGGAUGCUGCGACCGAUGAGCCGGUUACUCACGGGUGAACAGAGCCAGUCCAAUUUGAUUUGUGUAGGCUACCCAUCUCCAUUUGGCUCCCAGGAUCAAUAGAUGAUGUCUGAGAGCUAGGAGGUGGGGGCGGAGAAAGGAAAGGAAAGGAAAGGAAAGGAAAGGAAAGGUGCAACAGGUUAAACAGAAAGUAGCCGAUAGACACACAACGUCUGUUAUAUCGUUAAAAUAUAAUCUCAUCAAUAUUUUAUCUUCUCAAUUUUUAUUUUUUACUUUUCACCCUGUCGUUAAAAUUAGUUACUUAUUAAUGCUCAAAUGCAUUAUUAUUAUUAUUAUUAUUAUUAUUAUUAUUAUUAUUAUUGUUGUUAUGCUUCGAAUUAUUUCCUAUCCCAGUGUGUGGGGGGUAUAUUUUGCCUCCACACAAGGCUGAUUGGCUUUUGCAGUAUCAGUAGUUUGUAUCAGGUUAGUGGGCUGUGCACUCACCCACUCCUUACUACUGAAACCAUAAUGUUUUCAUGCACUGGGCUCAUACACACACUGCUGAAAUCAGUGGAGCCUGCAUAUGACCUGCAGUCUUUUCUGUGCAGCUUACUUGCGCAUAUACAAAAACCCUGAAGUGAUACCCAGGCCACAAAGCGACAGUCACCGCAAGUAUUGUAAUAGCACAUACAUACUAACAUAAACCGAACAAAACAAACUUGACCUAUAUCCGCCUUCCUAUAUGGCGCAUUGAGAUAUUUCAGCGUUUUUGUUGUUGUUCAUUCAUUAUUCAGGUUUAGAUUAUUAUGGAUGGCAGAUGUCAGAGCGUGAUGGAGAUGUUUAUGUUUGACUGAUUUAAGGAGCCAUUAUCCCGCCCGCUUAUCAAACAUUCAUGUGUGGCAGCUGUAGUUGUGGAUCUGCCUUCCGUCGUGUCUCCUGUGGCCGCUUCAUUUCUCUUCUUAAGCAACCACGACCUUUCCACUCAGUUAACCUAUUAUCUUUUAACAUUUAGAGGCAGCUUUACUCCAUCAGAAGAAGAAAUAAUCUAAAAGCAUUAGACACAGACUAUAUAUCAGAGAAAAAGAACUAUAGGAGAAUGUGAAAAAAUAUACAUCUAACAGAAAAGAACCUAACCCUUUAUGGCACAGCCAUGUAGAAGAAAACACUAUAGAUUGAAAAUGCGAGCUCGACACAGUAGCGUAUCAGCUGGCCUUUCAGCAGAUAGGAUAAAGCUGUCUAAUGUCCAAUAGACUGUAAGUGUCGCAAAACAACGUGUGAUAAACCCGGAAUAGCACAGGAACAGUAAGUAAAAACGCGCAACAGAACGUCUCAAUAUUAUAUAGUCCGAAUUAGAUGAAUAUUAAAUUUAUAAUUGCUUAAAGUUAUUGAUACGUUACCCAUAAUUAGUCUUUACAGUUAAUGACAGAUUUGUAAACAUCCUAAUGAAACAGUCUGGCAGUAUGCAGAGCAAUUAAUUCUGACGGGAGUCAUCAAAGGCGUCACUAUUUUAUUGUUUAUACGACUUUUAGUUGUUGAGCAAAAUAAGAUCCAAAAGAGCUUUUUUCUUUGCAGAAUAUUCACUCAUAUAAGUUCACACUGGGGCACUACUACAGCACGCUUAUAACGAACCUAACAUAGAUUGAUUGGAUUGGGAAAUAGUGACGCUUUCCUUUUUGAUAAAUUUCUUGUUAUGCAGCAAUAAUAUCUAGAUUAUAAUGAAGUUUGAGACAGGCUAUUUGCGUUAUCAUAAAAUUUAAAAUUAGACGUUAAUAUAAGAAAAGAAAAGAAAAGAAAAGAAAAGAAAAGAAAAGAACAGAAAAGAAGAAAGGUUUUUUCCAAAUUUCAGAACGGGUUGUUUUUGUUUUGUUUUUUACUCGAUGUUGAUUUUACCCAUUUAAUCCACCAUCAAAUUAGAUAAAAAGAGAUUUAACUUUUCAAGUUUAAUAUCAGCCAAAAGAGAGAAAAAAUAUUUUUUAAGAACCCCUUUUGCUUCAGUCUAAUAUUUUCUCUCCCUGUCGGCUGAGGCUGCACAGACCAUCCAGCGUCCGCACUUUGUAAUUGCCCUGUGAACGCGGUAGUUUUCAUUCUUUUGACCCUUCCAUGAACAGCACGCCGCCGCCCUCGCUUGCUCCCCUCCACCCCAUCCAAACAGACCCACACAAUGCUGCGUGUGCGUGCGCGCUCUGCGGUAUGUGGGCUAAAUGUCGUGCAGAGGUAAUGGGAAGUAGUCGGACGGUAGGGUCGGGAGUUCACGGCGGGGUUAAAGAGACCCGUCCGUGGCUCCUGUUUGCUUUUUUUCCACAACUCCGCUUCCUUCCUACAGGAGGAUGUGUCCAGUGUGCCACCGUCCUCACCUCGCAACAACCCCGUCACUGCACAGACCGUGUUUGUUUUUCUGCGUUUAUUAAAUCUUCCCCCGGCAGGAAAACGACCGGUAUCACCACGUCACUGGGUGCUGGUGAGUUUAGCACUUUGCAUCCCUCCUCUGCUCCCUGAGAACGCUUUUGUGUUUGGACUUGUGAAGUCUCGCGUCUAUUUAUAUCCCCACAUGCAGGCUGUCUCUUCAACCUUUUUUUCCCCUUCAGUUUAUCAUAUUUCUUCAAGAUUUUUUCAAGGUUUUUUUGUUCCAGAAUCACAGCUGACACAUUUUUAAAUAAAAUCAAAAACAAAAAACUAACUUUUAUUUUACACCAAGAAUCAGAUUAAUAAUAACAAACAAUGAAGGAUAAUUUCAGCUGUUUCACCUAAUAAAGAGGUCCCCAUGCACUCUUUGUACUUUAUUUAAAAAACAUUUGAUCAUUAAUAAAUUUUGUCUUCAAAAAAAGUCAGCGACCUCCCUCAUAAUGAACAAAACAGUCUCCCACCUAUGCCCCUUAUCAAGGUUUUUUUUUCUUUUUCUUUUUGAUGAAUCCCGAGCAUAAACCGCAUUUAAGCAGCAUGACAAUGAUGUAAGUUGUUAAAAGAGAAAAAAGAGCAGAGAUUAUUAUUAUCUCAUUAAGGAUAACUGCCUGCAGGUCCGCUGGGUUAUCCGCCAUUUUAAUUGCCGCUGCAUCAUUAUUCAGGCCUUUAACCAUUUUAUAGGUUUUUCCUCUAAUGAAAUGAGCAUGUGUGCAUUAUGGAAAUUGCAUCUUUAUAUGAUGUAGAUUAUUCUCUUGAGAAACCACGUGAAAUAUUAAUCAUUGAAGCCGUAUAUGAUAAAAUUUCCUCCUCUAUUGUAUUUGCCAUUCUAGCUCUCUAUUCUUGUGUGUCUUCUGUCUCUGCAGGUGGCAGGUAGGUGCUAUUUCAGCUUACUUUACAGCUUGUUUUUCUAGUUUGUGAACUUUGACAAGGUGGGUUUGAAUUGAAAAUAGUUUUUUAUACAAGACAAGGAAAAUAUUUAAUGUCCAUCUUGAAAACGUUUUUUUCUUUUGCAGUAAGUUUUCUAUUGCAGCUUUGUUAAUAAAACAACAAUAAAAACGUGUUUUAAAACCAGUUUGGUGUCACAUUUGCUUUAAAUAGUUGAUUUAUACAUGGUUUGGGAAACUAGGAGGGUACUUAAGUAAACUAGCACAAAAAGGCAUGUACACAUGGAAAAUUCUAUCACAUGAGCUCCAAUAUUUUUAUUAUGUGAAGAAAUGGAAACUAACCUUGUCUCUUUAUAAUAGAAUACAUUAGUUGAAUGUAAAGUUAUUCUAAUUUACUAUAACACAUUAAAAUAUUGCUGUCACUGAUAAAACAUUAAUACAACAUUUACAAUUACUCUUUACAAACCAAAAUAAAUGUAAUUUAAUCCAUGUGUUUAUAUACUACGAAUUUUCAGCUGCACAUAUUGCUAAAAAAAACAUGUAGUCAAUAAUUUCACAUGGAGGAUAACCCUUGAGAUUAAAUAUGUAAAAACAUACAUUAACAAAGAUAACAGCUACAUAUAAAUGAAUCUAACAAGCAAAAUAAAUAAAUAAAUACAUAAAAUACAACCGCUCUUAUACUCGUUUAUUUCAUUUGGGGAAGAAAAGAUGGAGGGAUUGAUGGAUGGACAACAAAGGGUUUAAUAAAGAAAUGGGAUAAAAGAGAAAAUACUUAAGAAAUAGAGAAACUGUAAGAACAGAAAGAGCUGAGAAGUCAUAUAUCCUCAAAGCAGGGGAUUGAGAUUCAUCUGACAGAAACAAGACAAAAACAGAAGGAGGGACCAACAGAGGUACAGUGGGGUUUUGCAUUGGCAUGGAGAGGGUCUGUUUUGUUGUUACCUUCCCUCUGUUUUUCUCUUUCUCUGUGUCUCUCAUCCUCUCUCUUUCGCUUUGUGUUCAUAUAGAGACAUCUAUACUGGAGACAGGAGAGUGAGAGAGAGAGAGAGAGAAUUUGGUCGUCUGCCUAUCUCCUCCUCACCAUGGCGCCCCUGAGACCAAGCAAGCAAGGAGAGUACACAUACACACACACACUUUUACCCGCCGCUGAGGAGAACAGCUUGGCUCUGUGUUACACUGAAAACCCCACUUUCCCUCAGUCAGACAGACAGGUAGACAGCUGGGUGUUACACUAAAUCCUCUCCCCCAUGUGUUCCUCCUAACACUGGCUCUGCUCUUUCUGUCACUUCUCUGUGUCUGCUCCUUUCUUUAUCUCAUGGCUCGUGCUUGAAAGCAGAAGAAAAGAGUCAGCCCUGGAAAAAAAUAAAACUAUGAUAUGAUUGUAAAAUGUGGAGUAGUUUAUGAAUAGUUUAGAGGAGAUGUCAGGGUUUAAAAUUGCAGGAUUAGUCAAUGGAAACAGCCAUUUGUGAAACGCUGAAAAUAAAACAUAGUGUCUCCAA